CCGAACCGUCGACACGAGUUGUUGCUGGCCCCUCGGGGCAUGUGCACGCUCUGUUUACAUAUCCACUCACACCUGUGCACUCUCUGUGGUUCUGUGGCCUGAGGGACCAUGUCCCUCUGCUGCGGUUCCACGUCUUUAUACACGCCCUGUAGUGAAGUCUCAUGGAAUGUGUGCCGCGUUUAACGCAAUGAAAUA
RNAcentral lists this unclassified non-coding RNA (195 nucleotides) under uncultured Thelephoraceae. Its description in RNAcentral is "sequence contains ITS1". Lineage: Eukaryota; Fungi; Basidiomycota; Agaricomycetes; Thelephorales; Thelephoraceae. The record is from RNAcentral.